Long non-coding RNA from Sinocyclocheilus anshuiensis, 388 nucleotides. RefSeq lists it as uncharacterized. The record is from RefSeq and is a predicted model, not a curated record. The transcript has 3 exons. Lineage: Eukaryota; Metazoa; Chordata; Actinopteri; Cypriniformes; Cyprinidae.
AGAACUUGUUGCAUUCUACAAACAAAACGGCAUAGAAUGGGCAAGCCCUGUGAAGUGCAGACUCCAAGGGGAUGCUGCCAUUGGUGAGGGAGUAACCAGACAUUUCUUGUCUACUGUUAUACAGAGGCUUCAGCAUGGAUUUAAUUUUAACAUGGGAAAUACUGCAAGGACCUGUCUCUUUGACGGUGAACCAGGUCAUCUUGUUCCAUCAUCAUCACAAUUUCUCGUAGAGAGUGAUCUGUUCCUUGUUGCAGGACGAAUGAUUGGACAUUCUUUCCUACAUGGUGGACCUCGGCUGGCUGGAGUCAGCCAAGCAAUAGUCCAUGUACUACUAGGAGGUUCACCUGAGACUGCUACAGUGCAAAUAGAAGACUGUCCUGACCAUGAU